This 264-nucleotide ribosomal RNA is filed under the name uncultured bacterium. RNAcentral's name for it is "partial 16S ribosomal RNA". It matches the Rfam family "Bacterial small subunit ribosomal RNA", at positions 793 to 1055 of the family's 1533-position model. The record is from RNAcentral.
GUCCACGCCCUAAACGAUGUCAACUGGUUGUUGGACGGCUUGCUGUUCAGUAACGAAGCUAACGCGUGAAGUUGACAGCCUGGGGAGUACGGCCGCAAGGUUGAAACUCAAAGGAAUUGACGGGGACCCCGCACAAGCGGUGGAUGAUGUGGUUUAAUUCGAUGCAACGCGAAAACCUUACCUACCCUUGACAUGUCUAGAAGUUACCAGAGAUGGUUUAGUGCUCGAAAGAGAACUAGAACACAGGUGCUGCAUGGCCGUCGU